GGCCCUAUAGCUCAGCGGUAGAGCGUUGGCUUCCAGUUCUAAUUGGAAAUUUCCAAAGGUCAUCCGUUCAAAUCGGGUUGGGGUCA
RNAcentral lists this transfer RNA (86 nucleotides) under Ustilago bromivora. It matches the Rfam family "tRNA". Rfam says of the family: Transfer RNA (tRNA) molecules are approximately 80 nucleotides in length. The record is from Rfam by way of RNAcentral. Lineage: Eukaryota; Fungi; Basidiomycota; Ustilaginomycetes; Ustilaginales; Ustilaginaceae.